AGUGAACGCUGGCGGUAGGCCUAACACAUGCAAGUCGAACGGCAGCACAGAGGAGCUUGCUCCUUGGGUGGCGAGUGGCGGACGGGUGAGGAAUACAUCGGAAUCUACUCUGUCGUGGGGGAUAACGUAGGGAAACUUACGCUAAUACCGCAUACGACCUACGGGUGAAAGCAGGGGAUCUUCGGACCUUGCGCGAUUGAAUGAGCCGAUGUCGGAUUAGCUAGUUGGCGGGGUAAAGGCCCACCAAGGCGACGAUCCGUAGCUGGUCUGAGAGGAUGAUCAGCCACACUGGAACUGAGACACGGUCCAGACUCCUACGGGAGGCAGCAGUGGGGAAUAUUGGACAAUGGGCGCAAGCCUGAUCCAGCCAUACCGCGUGGGUGAAGAAGGCCUUCGGGUUGUAAAGCCCUUUUGUUGGGAAAGAAAUCCAUCUGGUUAAUACCCGGGUGGGAUGACGGUACCCAAAGAAUAAGCACCGGCUAACCUCGUGCCAGCCGCCGCGGUA
This 505-nucleotide ribosomal RNA is filed under the name uncultured bacterium. RNAcentral's name for it is "partial 16S ribosomal RNA". It matches the Rfam family "Bacterial small subunit ribosomal RNA", at positions 29 to 522 of the family's 1533-position model. The record is from RNAcentral.